AUUGAACGCUGGCGGCAUGCCUUACACAUGCAAGUCGAACGGCAGCGCGGGAGCAAUCCUGGCGGCGAGUGGCGAACGGGUGAGUAAUACAUCGGAACGUGCCCAAUCGUGGGGGAUAACGCAGCGAAAGCUGUGCUAAUACCGCAUACGAUCUACGGAUGAAAGCAGGGGAUCGCAAGACCUUGCGCGAAUGGAGCGGCCGAUGGCAGAUUAGGUAGUUGGUGAGGUAAAGGCUCACCAAGCCUUCGAUCUGUAGCUGGUCUGAGAGGACGACCAGCCACACUGGGACUGAGACACGGCCCAGACUCCUACGGGAGGCAGCAGUGGGGAAUUUUGGACAAUGGGCGAAAGCCUGAUCCAGCCAUGCCGCGUGCAGGAUGAAGGCCUUCGGGUUGUAAACUGCUUUUGUACGGAACGAGACGGUCUUUUCUAAUAAAGAAGGCUAAUGACGGUACCGUAAGAAUAAGCACCGGCUAACUACGUG
Molecule: ribosomal RNA, 484 nt
Filed under: uncultured bacterium
Lineage: Bacteria
Description: partial 16S ribosomal RNA
Rfam family: Bacterial small subunit ribosomal RNA
Source: RNAcentral